UACGGAGGGGGCUAGCGUUGCUCGGAAUUACUGGGCGUAAAGGGCGCGUAGGCGGCCUUGUAAGUCAGGCGUUAAAGGCCCGGGCUCAACCCGGGAGCUGCGCUUGAGACUGCAGGGCUCGAGUUCGGGAGAGGGCAGUGGAAUUCCCAGUGUAGAGGUGAAAUUCGUAGAUAUUGGGAAGAACACCAGUGGCGAAGGCGGCUGCCUGGACCGAUACUGACGCUAAGGCGCGAAAGCGUGGGGAGCAAACAGG
Molecule: ribosomal RNA, 253 nt
Filed under: uncultured bacterium
Lineage: Bacteria
Description: partial 16S ribosomal RNA
Rfam family: Bacterial small subunit ribosomal RNA
Source: RNAcentral